This 773-nucleotide ribosomal RNA is filed under the name uncultured Streptococcus sp. RNAcentral's name for it is "bacterial SSU rRNA". It matches the Rfam family "Bacterial small subunit ribosomal RNA", at positions 28 to 776 of the family's 1533-position model. The record is from RNAcentral. Lineage: Bacteria; Bacillati; Bacillota; Bacilli; Lactobacillales; Streptococcaceae.
GACGAACGCUGGCGGCGUGCCUAAUACAUGCAAGUAGAACGCACAGUUUAUACCGUAGCUUGCUACACCAUAGACUGUGAGUUGCGAACGGGUGAGUAACGCGUAGGUAACCUGCCUGGUAGCGGGGGAUAACUAUUGGAAACGAUAGCUAAUACCGCAUAAUAUUAAUUAUUGCAUGAUAAUUGAUUGAAAGGUGCAAAUGCAUCACUACCAGAUGGACCUGCGUUGUAUUAGCUAGUAGGUGAGGUAACGGCUCACCUAGGCGACGAUACAUAGCCGACCUGAGAGGGUGAUCGGCCACACUGGGACUGAGACACGGCCCAGACUCCUACGGGAGGCAGCAGUAGGGAAUCUUCGGCAAUGGACGAAAGUCUGACCGAGCAACGCCGCGUGAGUGAAGAAGGUUUUCGGAUCGUAAAGCUCUGUUGUAAGAGAAGAACGGGUGUGAGAGUGGAAAGUUCACACUGUGACGGUAUCUUACCAGAAAGGGACGGCUAACUACGUGCCAGCAGCCGCGGUAAUACGUAGGUCCCGAGCGUUGUCCGGAUUUAUUGGGCGUAAAGCGAGCGCAGGCGGUUAGAUAAGUCUGAAGUUAAAGGCUGUGGCUUAACCAUAGUACGCUUUGGAAACUGUUUAACUUGAGUGCAGAAGGAGAGAGUGGAAUUCCAUGUGUAGCGGUGAAAUGCGUAGAUAUAUGGAGGAACACCGGUGGCGAAAGCGGCUCUCUGGUCUGUAACUGACGCUGAGGCUCGAAAGCGUGGGGAGCGGACAGG